CGCCAGACUCCUACGGGAGGCAGCAGCGGGGAAUAUUGCACAAUGGGGGAAACCCUGAUGCAGCGACGCCGCGUGAGUGAAGAAGUAUUUCGGUAUGUAAAGCUCUAUCGGCAGGGAAGAAAAUGACGGUACCUGGCUAAGAAGCCCCGGCUAACUACGUGCCAGCAGCCGCGGUAAUACGUAGGGGGCAAGCGUUAUCCGGAUUUACUGGGUGUAAAGGGAGCGUAGACGGCAUGGCAAGUCAGAUGUGAAAGCCCGGGGCUCAACCCCGGGACUGCAUUUGAAACUGUCAGGCUGGAGUGCAGGAGAGGUAAGUGGAAUUCCUAGUGUAGCGGUGAAAUGCGUAGAUAUUAGGAGGAACACCAGUGGCGAAGGCGGCUUACUGGACUGUAACUGACGUUGAGGCUCGAAAGCGUGGGGAGCAAACAGGAUUAGAUACCCUAGUA
This 446-nucleotide ribosomal RNA is filed under the name uncultured bacterium. RNAcentral's name for it is "bacterial SSU rRNA". It matches the Rfam family "Bacterial small subunit ribosomal RNA", at positions 329 to 792 of the family's 1533-position model. The record is from RNAcentral.